RNAcentral lists this long non-coding RNA (1780 nucleotides) under Homo sapiens (human). Its description in RNAcentral is "HSALNT0300408". Lineage: Eukaryota; Metazoa; Chordata; Mammalia; Primates; Hominidae. The record is from RNAcentral.
CAGUGGGGAGGAGGCAGCCACGCCAGCAUGGUGAGAUCCAAGCCGCAGUGACGGGGCUGCACUCGCUCCAGGUAGAUUGCUCAAAUGGAAGCUUCUGGAUGGAUAACUAAGGCAGCACAACCCCCAGUCAUUGUCUGAGGGCCACCCUGGGGGAUGGAGCGAGUGCAGGCCAAGUGGAUGCAGGGCCCACGGCCAGUUUCCAGGGUGAGCUGCAGGGCAAGCCGUGGGAAGCCCCAGAGGCAGACGCUGAGGGAUGGGCACCCCAAGAGAGUCCAGGGAUCCGAGGCCACCUGGGUGGAGCCCGGACAGCGUCUACUCCAGGGAGCAAAGCUGAGGCAGGAGCCGAGGGCUUUCCAGUGGAUGUGGAGACUUCGGCUUACUCCCGCACUGACUUUAUCCCAUUUCUGAGCCUGUCGGCACGUGUAGAGCAUUUUGGGCUCAGUUUCUCUAGAGACUAACUGUGGCCUCCCAUGGGGUGGGGACAGGACAGUCUCCCGGCUGCAUGGAAUGGGAUGCCGACCGAGGGACGGGCUCUCUCUUAAAGACUUGCCACCACACCUCUCUUGUCCAUGCCAGGCUUCUGGGGUCCCCUCUGCUGCAGGUGCUUCGGGAGUCUCAGUGGUUCUUCAGGGCAAAGCUGGCCCUGACCGUGUGCUGCAUGCCCGGAGGUCUGACAUCGGUGCUGCUGAGUGGCCUGCCGUGGUUCUCUUGGUUUCCCAUCUUGCAAAGAGUCGGUGAACUCUCACCUGCUCUUGUCUCCUCGUCUCUGUGCCCUGUCCUCCUGCGGGGCUUGGGAAACCAUAGGUGAUAAACACAUGAGCCAAUCUGCCAUCUCCACUGGAGCCAAUGCUCUUUCUGUGUUCCCAUUGGCCUGCCUAGGACUGAGGUCAGCUCCAGGGUCAGAGGCAGGACUGGAGUUGGGUUCUAACUGAGGCAGAGACAGGGCUUGGGAGAAGAAAUCAAGGUGGAGGGCAGAGGCUCCAGGUCUUUGCCAGGCUCACCUCAGAAGUGGGUGUGUCAGGCUGUCCAGAGUGGAGUGCACAGAAGCUGGGGCUUUGACAAGGGCAGGGUGACCAGUCCAGGCUGGCCUCAAAGGCAAGAGCUUGACUGCAGGGCCAGCAGGCGUGUGAUGUGGGUGGGCCCUAAGGAGGCUGAGGGAGAGGAUAAACUGUGAAGAGCCAGCAGCCCAGAAGCUAAAUGCAGGGAGGCAGAGAAGACAGGAGAGAUGGAGGCUUGCAGGACCUGGUGGUUGGGGAGGGCCAGUGACCAGGUGUUUAGAAGCAGCACCUCCUGUGAUUGGGGCUGAGGGUGAACUCUGCUUUCAAGCAGAGGUGGUUUGUCGUGGGUCUUCCAUGAUGACACCAGGUCAAGGUUUACCCAACAGAGCCUCCAGAUGCUCAGAGUCUUGCAGGCUCAGAACAAGAAUUGUCAACUUGCCAAGAUGAAUCUGUCUCUCGGGGGAGGACCCACACAGAACAAACGUUUGAAGCAGAAGUUUGCUUGGUAAACAUGGAAUCGGAACAUGGGAAUUGGGCCACUGGGAUAUUCAAUUGCGUCAGACCAUUGUAGCUGAUACUCCUGGACAGAGGGGCUUUGCCAACUGGACAGAUAUAUGAAGUGUUGCUGACCGAGCUCCUUGCUCUGUGUGGGAGGGAUCUUGCCAGCUCCAGCCUUGGUGGGUCUCCUUUUUCUGUUUCCAAGCUUAAAUAAGCACUUGGCUGUUCUGAUUAGCACUUUUAAAAGCUGUGUUAAUAAGUUCAAUUAAAAUAGAAGAAUCUCU